CCCUUAGAUGUUCUGGGCCGCACGCGCGCUACACUGACGGAUUCAACGAGCUUACAACCUUGGCCGAAAGGUCUGGGUAAUCUCCAAAAUCCGUCGUGAUGGGGAUAGAUUAUUGCAAUUAUUAAUCUUCAACGAGGAAUGCCUAGUACGCGCAAGUCAUCAGCUUGCGUUGAUUACGUCCCUGCCCUUUGUACACACCGCCCGUCGCUCCUACCGAUUGAAUGGUCCGGUGAAGCGUUUGGACUAUGGUUUUCUGAUGGUCCGCCGUUGGAUUACCGUGGGAAGUUCGUUAAACCUUAUCAUUUAGAGGAAGGAGAAGUCGUAACA
Molecule: ribosomal RNA, 327 nt
Filed under: uncultured eukaryote
Lineage: Eukaryota
Description: partial 18S ribosomal RNA
Rfam family: Eukaryotic small subunit ribosomal RNA
Source: RNAcentral